Molecule: ribosomal RNA, 460 nt
Filed under: uncultured bacterium
Lineage: Bacteria
Description: partial 16S ribosomal RNA
Rfam family: Bacterial small subunit ribosomal RNA
Source: RNAcentral
CCUACGGGAGUCAGCAGUGAGGAAUAUUGGUCAAUGGGCGCGAGCCUGAACCAGCCAAGUAGCGUGAAGGAUGACUGCCCUACGGGUUGUAAACUUCUUUUAUAAAGGAAUAAAGUGAGGCACGUGUGCCUUUUUGUAUGUACUUUAUGAAUAAGGAUCGGCUAACUCCGAGCCAGCAGCCGCUGUAAUACUGAGGCUCCGAGCGUUAUCCGGAUUUAUUGGGUUUAAAGGGAGCGUAGAUGGGUUGUUAAGUCAGUUGUGAAAGGUUGCGGCUCAACCGUAAAAUUGCAAUUGAUACUGGCAGUCUUGAGUACAGUUGAGGUAGGCGGAAUUCGGGGUGUAGCGGUGAAAUGCUUAGAUAGCACGAAGAACUCCGAUUGCGAAGGCAGCUUACUAAACUGCCACUGACAUUGAUGCUCGAAAGUGUGGGUAUCAAACAGGAUUAGAUACCCUGGUAGUC